This 301-nucleotide ribosomal RNA is filed under the name uncultured bacterium. Its description in RNAcentral is "partial 16S ribosomal RNA". It matches the Rfam family "Bacterial small subunit ribosomal RNA", at positions 509 to 809 of the family's 1533-position model. The record is from RNAcentral.
CAGUAGCCGCGGUAAUACGGAGGGUGCAAGCGUUAAUCGGAAUUACUGGGCGUAAAGCGCACGCAGGCGGUCUGUCAAGUCAGAUGUGAAAUCCCCGGGCUUAACCUGGGAACUGCAUUUGAAACUGGCAGGCUAGAGUCUUGUAGAGGGGGGUAGAAUUCCAGGUGUAGCGGUGAAAUGCGUAGAGAUCUGGAGGAAUACCGGUGGCGAAGGCGGCCCCCUGGACAAAGACUGACGCUCAGGUGCGAAAGCGUGGGGAGCAAACAGGAUUAGAUACCCCAGUAGUCCCUGUCUCUUACAC